UUUAACUGAAGAGUUUGAUCAUGGCUCAGAUUGAACGCUGGCGGCAGGCUUAACACAUGCAAGUCGAGCGGGGGAAGGUAGCUUGCUACUGGACCUAGCGGCGGACGGGUGAGUAAUGCUUAGGAAUCUGCCUAUUAGUGGGGGACAACAUCU
RNAcentral lists this ribosomal RNA (153 nucleotides) under Acinetobacter baumannii. Its description in RNAcentral is "partial 16S ribosomal RNA". It matches the Rfam family "Bacterial small subunit ribosomal RNA", at positions 1 to 151 of the family's 1533-position model. The record is from RNAcentral. Lineage: Bacteria; Pseudomonadati; Pseudomonadota; Gammaproteobacteria; Moraxellales; Moraxellaceae.